GACCGAUAGCGAACAAGUAGAGUGAUCGAAAGAUGAAAAGCACUUUGAAAAGAGGGUUAAACAGCACGUGAAAUUGUUAAAAGGGAAGCGCUUGUGACCAGACUUGCGUCCGGUGAAUCACCCAGCUCUCGCGGCUGGGGCACUUCGCCGGCUCAGGCCAGCAUCAGCUCGCUGUCGGGGACAAAAGCUUCAGGAACGUAGCUCUCUUCGGGGAGUGUUAUAGCCUGUUGCAUAAUACCCUUCGGCGGGCUGAGGUACGCGCUCCGCAAGGAUGCUGGCAUAGUUAAC
RNAcentral lists this ribosomal RNA (288 nucleotides) under Colletotrichum asianum. Its description in RNAcentral is "partial 28S ribosomal RNA". It matches the Rfam family "Eukaryotic large subunit ribosomal RNA", at positions 332 to 639 of the family's 3401-position model. Lineage: Eukaryota; Fungi; Ascomycota; Sordariomycetes; Glomerellales; Glomerellaceae. The record is from RNAcentral.